AGUGAAUUCGCAACAGGGGAGGAAAAAAGAACCACAACUUCCAAGGCCCUGCUUUUUUUCUUAAAAGUACUUUUAAAAAGAAAAAUUUGUUUGUAUUUUUUAUUUACAUUUUAUAAUUUUGUACAUAUUGUUAGGGGUAAGCCAUUUUUAAUGAUCUCGGAUGACCAAACCAGCCUUCGGAGCAUUCUCUGUCCUACUUCUGACUUUACUUGUGGUGUGACCAUGUUCAUUAUAAUCUCAAAGGAGAAAAAAAAUACCUUGUAAAAGAAAGCAAAAACAAUCUUAUUCUGAGCAUUCCAGUAAUUUUUUUUGUGUACACACUUUAGCUGUACUAUAAGUAGUUGGUUUGUAUGAGAUGGUUUAAAAGGCCAAAGAUAAAAAGGUUUCUUUUUUUUUUCCUUUUUUUUUGUCUAUUAAGUUGCUGUUUAUUUAUUUAUUUAUUUUGGCCUGUUUGAUGUAUGUGUGAAAAAAUGUUGUCCAACAAUAAAC
RNAcentral lists this long non-coding RNA (489 nucleotides) under Marmota monax (woodchuck). Lineage: Eukaryota; Metazoa; Chordata; Mammalia; Rodentia; Sciuridae. The record is from RNAcentral.